Molecule: ribosomal RNA, 449 nt
Filed under: uncultured bacterium
Lineage: Bacteria
Description: partial 16S ribosomal RNA
Rfam family: Bacterial small subunit ribosomal RNA
Source: RNAcentral
GUGAACGCUAGUGAUAUGCUUAACACAUGCGAGUUUAAAUUCAUAUUAAAUAUGUGAAUAGCGUACGGGUGAGUAAUGCACAAGAAUAUACUUUAUACUUUAGAAAUUAAAAUCUAGAAGAGAAAAAUAGUAAUAAUUGUGAUUAUAUUAUUUUAUUUUUUUUUUAAAUUAAUAUUGGUGUAAAAUUAGCUUUUGUAGAAUUAGAUAGUUGGUGUGGUAAUGGCUCACCAAGUCUAUUAUUCUUAGUUGAUCUUAGCGGAUGAUCAACCACAUUGGGACUGAAACAUGGCCCAAGCUCUUUUUUGAGGCAGCAGUGAGGAAUAUUGGACAAUGAACGAAAGUUUGAUCCAGCAAUAUCACGUGAAUGAUGAAGGUUUAUUUUAUUGUAAAGUUCUUUCAAUGAGGAAGAUAAUGACAUUACUCAUAAAAGAAGUCCCGACUAACCUCGU